This 253-nucleotide ribosomal RNA is filed under the name uncultured bacterium. RNAcentral's name for it is "partial 16S ribosomal RNA". It matches the Rfam family "Bacterial small subunit ribosomal RNA", at positions 524 to 776 of the family's 1533-position model. The record is from RNAcentral.
UACGUAGGGGGCAAGCGUUGUCCGGAAUUACUGGGCGUAAAGAGCUCGUAGGUGGUUUGUCGCGUUGUUCGUGAAAACUCACAACUCAAUUGUGGGCGUGCGGGCGAUACGGGCAGACUGGAGUACUGCAGGGGAGACUGGAAUUCCUGGUGUAGCGGUGGAAUGCGCAGAUAUCAGGAGGAACACCGGUGGCGAAGGCGGGUCUCUGGGCAGUAACUGACGCUGAGGAGCGAAAGCGUGGGGAGCGAACAGG